CAAAUUCUUUUGUUUGUAUAUAUAGAUAUACAGUUUGCAUGGAGUGACCGCUUCUCAAGUCUUUUCAAUCAGUAUUCUUAACCAGGGAAUUAUUAUUAAUUAUAUU
This is a long non-coding RNA of Cotesia glomerata, 106 nucleotides long. RefSeq lists it as uncharacterized. The transcript has 3 exons. NCBI's taxonomy places the organism in Eukaryota, Metazoa, Arthropoda, Insecta, Hymenoptera, Braconidae. The record is from RefSeq and is a predicted model, not a curated record.